RNAcentral lists this ribosomal RNA (2758 nucleotides) under Escherichia coli. RNAcentral's name for it is "partial 23S ribosomal RNA". It matches the Rfam family "Bacterial large subunit ribosomal RNA". The record is from RNAcentral. Lineage: Bacteria; Pseudomonadati; Pseudomonadota; Gammaproteobacteria; Enterobacterales; Enterobacteriaceae.
CAUAGGUUAAUGAGGCGAACCGGGGGAACUGAAACAUCUAAGUACCCCGAGGAAAAGAAAUCAACCGAGAUUCCCCCAGUAGCGGCGAGCGAACGGGGAGGAGCCCAGAGCCUGAAUCAGUGUGUGUGUUAGUGGAAGCGUCUGGAAAGGCGCGCGAUACAGGGUGACAGCCCCGUACACAAAAAUGCACAUAUUGUGAGCUCGAUGAGUAGGGCGGGACACGUGGUAUCCUGUCUGAAUAUGGGGGGACCAUCCUCCAAGGCUAAAUACUCCUGACUGACCGAUAGUGAACCAGUACCGUGAGGGAAAGGCGAAAAGAACCCCGGCGAGGGGAGUGAAAAAGAACCUGAAACCGUGUACGUACAAGCAGUGGGAGCCUCUUUAUGGGGUGACUGCGUACCUUUUGUAUAAUGGGUCAGCGACUUAUAUUCUGUAGCAAGGUUAACCGAAUAGGGGAGCCGAAGGGAAACCGAGUCUUAACUGGGCGUUAAGUUGCAGGGUAUAGACCCGAAACCCGGUGAUCUAGCCAUGGGCAGGUUGAAGGUUGGGUAACACUAACUGGAGGACCGAACCGACUAAUGUUGAAAAAUUAGCGGAUGACUUGUGGCUGGGGGUGAAAGGCCAAUCAAACCGGGAGAUAGCUGGUUCUCCCCGAAAGCUAUUUAGGUAGCGCCUCGUGAAUUCAUCUCCGGGGGUAGAGCACUGUUUCGGCAAGGGGGUCAUCCCGACUUACCAACCCGAUGCAAACUGCGAAUACCGGAGAAUGUUAUCACGGGAGACACACGGCGGGUGCUAACGUCCGUCGUGAAGAGGGAAACAACCCAGACCGCCAGCUAAGGUCCCAAAGUCAUGGUUAAGUGGGAAACGAUGUGGGAAGGCCCAGACAGCCAGGAUGUUGGCUUAGAAGCAGCCAUCAUUUAAAGAAAGCGUAAUAGCUCACUGGUCGAGUCGGCCUGCGCGGAAGAUGUAACGGGGCUAAACCAUGCACCGAAGCUGCGGCAGCGACACUAUGUGUUGUUGGGUAGGGGAGCGUUCUGUAAGCCUGUGAAGGUGGCCUGUGAGGGUUGCUGGAGGUAUCAGAAGUGCGAAUGCUGACAUAAGUAACGAUAAAGCGGGUGAAAAGCCCGCUCGCCGGAAGACCAAGGGUUCCUGUCCAACGUUAAUCGGGGCAGGGUGAGUCGACCCCUAAGGCGAGGCCGAAAGGCGUAGUCGAUGGGAAACAGGUUAAUAUUCCUGUACUUGGUGUUACUGCGAAGGGGGGACGGAGAAGGCUAUGUUGGCCGGGCGACGGUUGUCCCGGUUUAAGCGUGUAGGCUGGUUUUCCAGGCAAAUCCGGAAAACCAAGGCUGAGGCGUGAUGACGAGGCACUACGGUGCUGAAGCGACAAAUGCCCUGCUUCCAGGAAAAGCCUCUAAGCAUCAGGUAACAUCAAAUCGUACCCCAAACCGACACAGGUGGUCAGGUAGAGAAUACCAAGGCGCUUGAGAGAACUCGGGUGAAGGAACUAGGCAAAAUGGUGCCGUAACUUCGGGAGAAGGCACGCUGAUAUGUAGGUGAAGCGACUUGCUCGUGGAGCUGAAAUCAGUCGAAGAUACCAGCUGGCUGCAACUGUUUAUUAAAAACACAGCACUGUGCAAACACGAAAGUGGACGUAUACGGUGUGACGCCUGCCCGGUGCCGGAAGGUUAAUUGAUGGGGUUAGCGGUAACGCGAAGCUCUUGAUCGAAGCCCCGGUAAACGGCGGCCGUAACUAUAACGGUCCUAAGGUAGCGAAAUUCCUUGUCGGGUAAGUUCCGACCUGCACGAAUGGCGUAAUGAUGGCCAGGCUGUCUCCACCCGAGACUCAGUGAAAUUGAACUCGCUGUGAAGAUGCAGUGUACCCGCGGCAAGACGGAAAGACCCCGUGAACCUUUACUAUAGCUUGACACUGAACAUUGAGCCUUGAUGUGUAGGAUAGGUGGGAGGCUUUGAAGUGUGGACGCCAGUCUGCAUGGAGCCGACCUUGAAAUACCACCCUUUAAUGUUUGAUGUUCUAACGUUGGCCCGUAAUCCGGGUUGCGGACAGUGUCUGGUGGGUAGUUUGACUGGGGCGGUCUCCUCCUAAAGAGUAACGGAGGAGCACGAAGGUUGGCUAAUCCUGGUCGGACAUCAGGAGGUUAGUGCAAUGGCAUAAGCCAGCUUGACUGCGAGCGUGACGGCGCGAGCAGGUGCGAAAGCAGGUCAUAGUGAUCCGGUGGUUCUGAAUGGAAGGGCCAUCGCUCAACGGAUAAAAGGUACUCCGGGGAUAACAGGCUGAUACCGCCCAAGAGUUCAUAUCGACGGCGGUGUUUGGCACCUCGAUGUCGGCUCAUCACAUCCUGGGGCUGAAGUAGGUCCCAAGGGUAUGGCUGUUCGCCAUUUAAAGUGGUACGCGAGCUGGGUUUAGAACGUCGUGAGACAGUUCGGUCCCUAUCUGCCGUGGGCGCUGGAGAACUGAGGGGGGCUGCUCCUAGUACGAGAGGACCGGAGUGGACGCAUCACUGGUGUUCGGGUUGUCAUGCCAAUGGCACUGCCCGGUAGCUAAAUGCGGAAGAGAUAAGUGCUGAAAGCAUCUAAGCACGAAACUUGCCCCGAGAUGAGUUCUCCCUGAGACUUAGAGUCUCCUGAAGGAACGUUGAAGACGACGACGUUGAUAGGCCGGGUGUGUAAGCGCAGCGAUGCGUUGAGCUAACCGGUACUAAUGAACCGUGAGGCUUAACCUUACAACGCCGAAGCUGUU